UCGGACCUAAGAACAUAAGAAGAACUUGCUGGAUGAGGAUGCCACAUGUCCAUCUAGUCCAGCACCCCACUCUCCCAGUGGCCAAGCAAGAUGCCUGAGGCCCAUGAAUAGGACCUGAGCCUAACCUACUGUGUGAAGGAAUGAAGGCAUCGAUUGGCAGAGUGAGGUUGGUGGGGCAGGGCACCACUUGUCCUAGCAGACUCGCCUCCACUGCCUCUAGGGACUCAAGGUGGUUUACAGAUAAAAAUAUGAAAAGGCUUUAAACAUAGAAAAAG
Molecule: non-coding RNA, 275 nt
Organism: Podarcis muralis (Common wall lizard)
Lineage: Eukaryota; Metazoa; Chordata; Lepidosauria; Squamata; Lacertidae
Source: RefSeq, a predicted model, not a curated record